Nematostella vectensis (starlet sea anemone) is the source of this 48-nucleotide non-coding RNA. The record is from Rfam. Lineage: Eukaryota; Metazoa; Cnidaria; Anthozoa; Actiniaria; Edwardsiidae.
AUAAAGGCUGUUUUCACAGCCACUUGAAAAUGUAGUAUUCCAAUUUUU